RNAcentral lists this long non-coding RNA (2865 nucleotides) under Equus caballus (horse). RNAcentral describes it as "lncRNA (ENSECAG00000040888.2)". The stretch from base 1343 to 1428 matches the Rfam family "mir-145 microRNA precursor family". Lineage: Eukaryota; Metazoa; Chordata; Mammalia; Perissodactyla; Equidae. The record is from RNAcentral.
AGUUGUUCUGCGGCCAUCAGCCUGGAAGCGGUGAGUGGUGGUGGCGCUUGGGGGCGCCAGGCAGGACGGGAGCAUUUCCAGUCUCCACACUGUCAGCUGUUCCUGCAGAGGAAGUUUCUGGACUCAGGUCCCACCUGUGUCCCUAUGCGCUCUGUGAUUCGGGGCGAGCAUUGACUCUUCUGUGUACCCUAGUUUUGUCCAUCUGUGGAAUGAAGUGUUGGACCCUCCAGUGGGGGCCCUCACCCAGCACCCUGCCUCUGCUUUCUCUUUCUGAGCCCUUGGUGGCCCCUGCUAAUCAGAGAAGGCGUCCAUUCUGGAAAUGUUCAGAUGCGGCUUCAGAAUCCUUCUCAACACAAAGUCCUGGGUAGCGACUCUUAAUGAUUCAGAGCUGAAACCCAUUCAUCAUUUGUGGAUUGGACAAUUUCUAAAAACCCUUUCAUCCCUAAAGACAAAGCUCUGGGCUCUUCAUGUUUUGAGCUCUUACCUUUGGCUCCCGGCCCUUGCCUGACCCAGUCCAGGCCUCACCAAUGUCUGACCUCUCUUGGAGGCGCCAGACAAGCAGGGACCAGCAGAGGAGAAUAGCUGGGCUAAGCACAACUUUAUUUAACCUCCCAACAAGCUUGGGAGGUGAGCAAUGUUAUUGACCCAUUUUACAGAUGAGAAGACUGAGGUUCGGUUAAGCAACUCACCCAAGGUCACUCGUGAGUUGUGCUGAGUCGGGGUUGUAGCCUAAUCUCUCGGCCGUCAAAUUCGUGUUCUCACCCACUGCACGUGACUGUGUGCCCCAGGGGUGGGCAGCGGAAGGAGAACAUCAUAAAUCCUCCUCUGGUCUCGUCCCUGUAUCUCAGGCCGCUUUUAGCAAAGACAGACCCAGCCACUCUCCACUAAUCCUAAGGACUCCUUUCCUCCUGCCUGUCCCCCAACAUUGUAUUUAUCUCACCUUAUGCAGUAGGACCUAGACUGUCCCAUUUUACAGUUGAGGAAAGCCAAGGUUAAGUGACUUGCUGGAGGUCACCAGCGAGGGAGUUGCCAGAGACUGAGAACGGGAUCUGCCUCCCUUUGGCUGGAGGCUCAGGAAUACACACGACCCAUGGCAGCCACGGGGAGGGAGGGCGGCUGGGACCCCAGAGGGCUUCUGGUUGACAACAUGGCUCUUGACAACGCGGAAGGUACUUUCCAGGGCACUUGGAAGUUCCAGUCACUAUUCCUCCUGGAGAGAUCAGCCACAUCCUGCGAUUCGUGGCACCCAUGCUGGCUUCUGCAGAUGGGGCUGGAAGCAGAAGAAAACUCCAGCUGGUCCUUAGGGACGUAGCAGGGCCUUGGGGCUGAAGGCCACUCUCUCACCUUGUCCUCACGGUCCAGUUUUCCCAGGAAUCCCUUAGAUGCUAAGAUGGGGAUUCCUGGAAAUACUGUUCUUGAGGUCAUGGUUUAACAGCUGGAUUCGCCUCCUUCCCACCCCAGAGUUGGCCCUGUGGGGCCUCGGCUCAAGCACAGGAUGAGGGGCAAGGAGAGGCCCGUGCGCUGGAGGUAAGAGGGCUCGCAGACCGUCUUCUUGACCUUUAAGUUGCUCUUCUUUCCAUAUUGUCCAUUUCGUAACAUCCCUAUGAGGCUGGAUGUGGGAACUUCACCGCUGCCAUACUCUUGGGAAAUUUGCCCCGACGCUCGCGGAGCAGUGGCUGAACCGGGACGCUGUAAAGCACGGGUUCUCCCGGUCUCCACCCACCCUUACCCCACUUCCCAGCAUGCCGUGUGGUAGGGGCCACAAGAGCGUAUCUGCAUGAUUGACAAAUUAAUAAACGCGCACGAAUUUAUUUUAACAGUUUAUUAAAUCAGUUAGGUAAACUAAAAACUAUAAGUCUUAGUUCCAUUUGGAAUACAGCCAGAGAAAAAUAGAAAUUUUUUCCAUCAACCCGGAGAAGACAAAAAAGCUCAGAGCGCCCUCUUGUGGUGAUGCCUGCUGCUACCCACUCCAGGAACACACGCACACGCACACGCACCGCCCCGAGAUUCCUUUAGCCCCACGCACUUCUGAGGCAGUGACCACUCAAGCCCCAUCCAUCAGCUCAUUACUAGUGGUGGCUCCAGCACUCAGUGUCCUUUUAGUUCCAAAGCCUGGCUUCCUCCUCAAAGCUCCCUGAAGGUCUGUGUGGUAGGGGAGGCUCAGAGAGGUGAAGUGACCAGCCCCAGGUCGCCCAGACAGCAAAAGGAAGAGCCAGGAUUGAUCCCAAGUCCAGUGGCCUGUGGCAAUUCCUUAGCUAAAAGCAAAAACUACAAAAAUAAAACCUAAAAAGACUCUCUGAAUAGACAUUGGGAAUGCUAAUGGACCGAAUGCCGAGGACCCGAGGUGGCUCCCACACAUGGCUCAAGCUGUCUUCCUAACGGCCCACAUGGAAGACAUUUAUGAUGUACGAGAUCUACUCUUCUCAUACACAGAGACUGGAGCUGGCCUGACCAUGGAGAAAUCUGAUUUGCUCCUAACAAUGAUAGUAAUAGCUUCUACUCAUGGAGCACUUACAAUUUGCCAGAUACUCUCUAAACAGGUGCACAGGCAUUACCUCAUUCAGUGCUCACAAGAACCCAGUGAGACAGGUUUUAUCAUUUACUCCAUUUCACAGACAAGGAAGCCAAGGCUCAGAGAGGUUAAGAGACUUGCCUAAGGCCACACAGCUAAUAACGGUGAAUCUGGGAUCAGAUCAAGUCUGUGUUUAUGCUUUUAACCUGCCCUUGCCUCCUCCCUCCCAUUUGGCCUGACUUGACGAGUAGGGCUAUCUCUCUGUGGCUUCCCUGGGGGGGGUGGCGGAAGGUAAAAAAGUAAGACCUGUGUGGUCCCUUCUGUGCUCUGUGACUAUAAUAAACUGCUGGACC